This 253-nucleotide ribosomal RNA is filed under the name uncultured bacterium. RNAcentral describes it as "partial 16S ribosomal RNA". It matches the Rfam family "Bacterial small subunit ribosomal RNA", at positions 524 to 776 of the family's 1533-position model. The record is from RNAcentral.
UACGUAGGGACCAAGCGUUAUCCGGAUUCACUGGGUUUAAAGGGUGCGUAGGUGGGCAGGUAAGUCAGUGGUGAAAUCUUUGGGCUUAACCCGAAAACUGCCGUUGAUACUAUCUGUCUUGAAUAUAGUGGAGGUGAGCGGAAUAUGUCAUGUAGCGGUGAAAUGCUUAGAUAUGACAUAGAACAUCGAUUGCGAAGGCAGCUCGCUACACUAUGAUUGACACUGAGGCACGAAAGCGUGGGGAUCAAACAGG